RNAcentral lists this ribosomal RNA (468 nucleotides) under uncultured bacterium. RNAcentral's name for it is "partial 16S ribosomal RNA". It matches the Rfam family "Bacterial small subunit ribosomal RNA", at positions 28 to 507 of the family's 1533-position model. The record is from RNAcentral.
GACGAACGCUGGCGGCGUGCUUAACACAUGCAAGUCGAACGGAAAGGCCCUGCUCUUGUGGGUUGCUCGAGUGGCGAACGGGUGAGUAACACGUGAGUAACCUGCCCUUUACUUUGGGAUAACUUCAGGAAACUGGGGCUAAUACCGGAUAGGAGCUCCGGCGGCAUGGAGGGGGUUGGAAAGUUUCGGCGGUUGGGGAUAGACUCGCGGGUUAUCAGCUUGUUGGUGGGGUAGUGGCAUACCAAGUCUUUGACGGGUAGCCGGCCUGAGAGGGUGACCGGCCACAAUGGGACUGAGAUACGGCCCAGACUGCUACGGGAGGCAGCAGGGGGGAAUAUUGCACAAUGGGCGCAAGCCUGAUACAGCAACGCCGCGUUCGGGAUGACGGCCUUCGGGUUGUGAACCGGUUCCGCCUGUGACGAAGCGUGAGUGACGGUAAUGGGUAAAGAAGCACCGGCUAACUACGUG